UGUAGGAGUGAGCCUGCUCGCGAUAGCGCCGGUUCAGUCACCCGAUGUGUUGAAUGUGACGACGCUAUCGCGAGCAGGCUCACUCCUACA
This 90-nucleotide unclassified non-coding RNA is filed under the name Pseudomonas moraviensis. The record is from RNAcentral. Lineage: Bacteria; Pseudomonadati; Pseudomonadota; Gammaproteobacteria; Pseudomonadales; Pseudomonadaceae.